GUUCCGUCCCACAUCUCACUGACGGAUAUUAGAGAUUGGCUCAUUGCCAAGGGUAGAAACUACUUUAAGAACACGUUUCAGAGUGAAAUGGAAGAGGGGAAGAACCUUCACUUGGCUGAACUGGCUUGGGAUGUGAAACGACGCCUCAGGCUAAAGGAGCUGGAAAGAGAAGUGUGCAGGGAGCUGCGCCUGGAGCGCCGAAUCCGCUGGUCGGUGAUUGGACAGCCUGGUAGCCAGAUGGGAGAUUGGAGACCCCUGGGCAUGGAGACACACACACCUCUGGGAAUGGACACUCUUUCCAGUCAAAUCUCGACUGAGAACCUCGAGGUUGCUAGGCUACAUACUGCCAGACCACAUAUUGCCAGACCACAAACUACAAGACCACGUUCUGCCAGACCACCAACUGAAAGACCUAGCAGUGGCUCUGAUCACUCUGGAACCUUGUCUACUGUGAUGACCUGCUCACCACAUUCAGCUAGCCCGUCAGUGGUAGGUCACUUUGGUCAUGAACAUGUUCCCAGCUUUCACUCUUUGGGGGCUGUAGGCAUAUUACUGCUUCCCUGUCUCCCAUCUCCUGGGAAAUCCAUAUCCAAGUACAGUGGCAAGAAAAAGUAUGUGAACCCUUUGGAAUUACCUGGACUUCUGCGUAAAUUGGUCCUAAAAUGUUCUCUGAUCUUCAUCUAAGUCACAACAAUAGACAAACAAUGAUACUUUUUCAUGUCUUUAUUGAACACACGGUGUAAACAUUCACAGUGCAGGGUGGAAAAAGUACUCAGCAAAAAAAUAAACUUCCCUUUUUCAGGACCCUGUCUUUCAAAGAUAAUUCAUAUAAAUCCAAAUAACUUCACAGAUCUUCAUUUUAAAGGGUAUAAACACUGUUUCCCAUGCUUGUUCAAUGAACCAUGAACAAAUAAUGAACAUGCGUCUGUGGAACGGUCGUUAAGACACUAACAGCUUACGGAUGAUAGGCAAUUAAGGUCACAGUUAUGAAAACUUAGGAAACUAAAGAGGCCUUUAUACUAACCUUUCUACUAACACCAAAAGAAAGAUGCCCAGGGUUCCUGCUCACCUGCGAGAACGUGCCUUCGGCAUGCUGCAAGGAAGCAUGAGGACCGCAGAUGUGGCCAGGGCAAUAAAUUGCAAUGUCCGUUCUGUGAGACACCUAAGACAGCGCUACAGGGAGACAGGACGGACAGCUGAUUGUCCUCGCAGUGGCAGACCUCGUGUAACAACACCUGCACAGGAUUGGUACAUCUGAACAUCACACCUGCGGGCAGGUACAGGAUGGUACAACAGCUGCCCGAGUUACACCAGGAACGCACAAUCCCUCCAUCAGUUCUCAGUUUGUCCGCAAUAGGCUGAGAGAGGCUGGACUGAGGGCUUGUAGGCCUGUUGUAAGGAAACCGGCAACAACGUCGCCAAUGGGCACAAACCCACCAUCGCUGGACCAGACAGGACUGUCAAAAAGUGCUCUUCACUGACGAGGCAUGGUUUUGUUUCACCAGGGGUGAUGGUCGGAUUCGCGUUUAUCGUCAAAGGAAUGAGCGUUACACCGAGGCCUGUACUCUGGAGCGGUAUCGAUUUGGAGGUGGAGGGUUCGUCAUGGUCUUGGGCGAUGUGUCACAGCAUCAUCGGACUGAGCUUGUUGUCAUUGCA
Long non-coding RNA from Oncorhynchus nerka (sockeye salmon), 1656 nucleotides. RefSeq lists it as uncharacterized. The transcript is spliced from 3 exons. The record is from RefSeq and is a predicted model, not a curated record. NCBI's taxonomy places the organism in Eukaryota, Metazoa, Chordata, Actinopteri, Salmoniformes, Salmonidae.